UGGGGGGGCUGUCGUUUUCCCUAUAAAUAUGUGGGAGUUUGUUCAACACUGAGUCACUGCUGCAAAAUUAUUUGGGGAUGAGACCCUGAAAUUCCCAGGCUGGACAUGGCCCUCUCUUCUGGCUCCUGAAAAUCACCUCCUGAUGUCCCCUGCCCUGUGUGCCUGUGCCAUGCCCAUCUGGGCUGACAGCAGCAGUGGCAGCUGCUCCUGCUGGGUGCUGCUGGGCUGGAGCCCUGUGGUGCCAGCCCCGGUGUCUUUGGGGCAGGGGCUGCUUUUCCUGGCUUGAAUAAAGACGAGCACUUUGGCAUUGCA
Serinus canaria (Common canary) is the source of this 312-nucleotide long non-coding RNA. RefSeq lists it as uncharacterized. The transcript has 2 exons. The record is from RefSeq and is a predicted model, not a curated record. NCBI's taxonomy places the organism in Eukaryota, Metazoa, Chordata, Aves, Passeriformes, Fringillidae.